RNAcentral lists this long non-coding RNA (1094 nucleotides) under Parus major (Great Tit). RNAcentral describes it as "lncRNA (ENSPMJG00000002091.1)". The record is from RNAcentral. Lineage: Eukaryota; Metazoa; Chordata; Aves; Passeriformes; Paridae.
GAAAAAACCCCAAAAACUCACCAAAAAAACCCAAUAAAAACCACUAAAACCAGAGAAAUCCCAAAAAAUCCUCAACUUCCGACGCAUCAAAAUUGGAAUUCUCACCAUAAAAACCCGAAAUCACCAUGGAUUUUUCCAGGGCUUUUUUUUCAGGAAGCAAAACAUUCCCUGAAUUAAACUCCAGAACCUCUCCCUCCCCCGCAAAACCUGGAAAAACCCUCGGAACCGCGACAGAGGGGCGGAUUUAGAGGGAAUUUUUAUAAUUCCCGGCGGGAAUUCCGGAGAUUUUGAUUUUUUUUUCUAAAAAAAUUCCCGGCACCUGGAUUGCGCGGAUCCUCCUGGAGCCGGAUCUCGGCGGGAUGGAGGCAGCUGGGGUUCCUCCAGGCCCAGUCGGCCAGGGCGGAGAUGUUGUUGAUCUGGGCCUGGAUGUCGUAGAGCAGCGUGGCCUGGAUGUGCUGGAGCGUGCUGGAUUCCCGGGAAUGCUGCUCCAGCUCCUGCACCCUCUGGAGAAGGCUCUGGUUCUGAGCCGCCUCCUCCUCCUCCUGCUGCCGGGGCGGGGGAAAAAAUUCCAGGGGAAAAAACAAAAAUUCCAGGGGAAAAACGGGGUUGGGAAUGAGUGGGGCGGAAGAUUCCAGAAUGUCAUCUCAUGGAAUUCUCAUCCCGCGGCUUCAUGGGGGGUUUGGAUAUUCCCGGGAUUCCACCGAGGGAGGGGGAGGUUGGGAAUGUGGGAAUCUCUUCCCGUCAUUUUGGGGAUAUUCCGGCUCGGCCCGUUCCGUGGGAGUGAUCCGGCCUUUCCAUGGGUGCUCCCAGGGAUUCUCUGGGAAUUUCAGCCCGGCAGGGAAUUCCUUCCCAAGAUCCCAAAAGCCCAAAAUCCCGAAAUCCCAAAAUCCCGACCCUGGGGCAGUGGGAGCCGUUCCCUGUCCCAGAAUUCUGGGCCCUUUUCCCAAAUUCCGCUCUGCCUCUCUGGGAUUGGAUCCAGCCCCAUCCCGACUCCUCCUGGAGAAGGAAUUUUGGGAUCUGGGGACUUCACUGGGAAUCUCAGGACUCCAGGAAGGGUCUCCCUUCCCUUUUCCAUCCCUGAAUUCCAUAAAAAU